Molecule: ribosomal RNA, 253 nt
Filed under: uncultured bacterium
Lineage: Bacteria
Description: partial 16S ribosomal RNA
Rfam family: Bacterial small subunit ribosomal RNA
Source: RNAcentral
UACGUAGGCAGCAAGCGUUGUUCGGAGUUACUGGGCGUAAAGAGCUCGUAGGUGGUUUGUCGCGUUGUUCGUGAAAACCGGGGGCUUAACCCUCGGCGUGCGGGCGAUACGGGCAGACUUGAGUACUGCAGGGGAGACUGGAAUUCCUGGUGUAGCGGUGAAAUGCGCAGAUAUCAGGAGGAACACCGGUGGCGAAGGCGGGUCUCUGGGCCUUACCUGACGCUGAGACGCGAAAGCGUGGGGAGCGAACCGG